Molecule: ribosomal RNA, 620 nt
Filed under: Shigella sonnei
Lineage: Bacteria; Pseudomonadati; Pseudomonadota; Gammaproteobacteria; Enterobacterales; Enterobacteriaceae
Description: bacterial SSU rRNA
Rfam family: Bacterial small subunit ribosomal RNA
Source: RNAcentral
AAAUUGAAGAGUUUGAUCAUGGCUCAGAUUGAACGCUGGCGGCAGGCCUAACACAUGCAAGUCGAACGGUAACAGGAAACAGCUUGCUGUUUCGCUGACGAGUGGCGGACGGGUGAGUAAUGUCUGGGAAACUGCCUGAUGGAGGGGGAUAACUACUGGAAACGGUAGCUAAUACCGCAUAAUGUCGCAAGACUAAAGAGGGGGACCUUCGGGCCUCUUGCCAUCGGAUGUGCCCAGAUGGGAUUAGCUAGUAGGUGGGGUAACGGCUCACCUAGGCGACGAUCCCUAGCUGGUCUGAGAGGAUGACCAGCCACACUGGAACUGAGACACGGUCCAGACUCCUACGGGAGGCAGCAGUGGGGAAUAUUGCACAAUGGGCGCAAGCCUGAUGCAGCCAUGCCGCGUGUAUGAAGAAGGCCUUCGGGUUGUAAAGUACUUUCAGCGGGGAGGAAGGGAGUAAAGUUAAUACCUUUACUCAUUGACGUUACCCGCAGAAGAAGCACCGGCUAACUCCGUGCCAGCAGCCGCGGUAAUACGGAGGGUGCAAGCGUUAAUCGGAAUUACUGGGCGUAAAGCGCACGCAGGCGGUUUGUUAAGUCAGAUGUGAAAUCCCCGGGCUC